This 66-nucleotide transfer RNA is filed under the name Pseudopedinella elastica. It matches the Rfam family "tRNA". Rfam says of the family: Transfer RNA (tRNA) molecules are approximately 80 nucleotides in length. Their secondary structure includes four short double-helical elements and three loops (D, anti-codon, and T loops). Lineage: Eukaryota; Dictyochophyceae; Pedinellales. The record is from RNAcentral.
GGUAUAGCCAAGUUGGUAAGGCAACGGGUUUUGAUCCCGUCUUUCGUAGGUUCGAGUCCUGCUACC